RNAcentral lists this ribosomal RNA (496 nucleotides) under uncultured bacterium. RNAcentral's name for it is "partial 16S ribosomal RNA". It matches the Rfam family "Bacterial small subunit ribosomal RNA", at positions 28 to 506 of the family's 1533-position model. The record is from RNAcentral.
GAUGAACGCUGGCGGCGUGCCUAAUACAUGCAAGUCGAGCGAACAGACGAGGAGCUUGCUCCUCUGACGUUAGCGGCGGACGGGUGAGUAACACGUGGAUAACCUACCUAUAAGACUGGGAUAACUUCGGGAAACCGGAGCUAAUACCGGAUAAUAUAUUGAACCGCAUGGUUCAAUAGUGAAAGACGGUUUUGCUGUCACUUAUAGAUGGAUCCGCGCCGCAUUAGCUAGUUGGUAAGGUAACGGCUUACCAAGGCAACGAUGCGUAGCCGACCUGAGAGGGUGAUCGGCCAAACUGGAACUGAGACACGGUCCAGACUCCUACGGGAGGCAGCAGUAGGGAAUCUUCCGCAAUGGGCGAAAGCCUGACGGGGCAACGCCGCGUGAGUGAUGAAGGUCUUCGGAUCGUAAAACUCUGUUAUUAGGGAAGAACAAAUGUGUAAGUAACUAUGCACGUCUUGACGGUACCUAAUCAGAAAGCCACGGCUAACUACGU